UGCCCUAGUAACGGCGAGUGAAGCGGCAACAGCUCAAAUUUGAAAUCUGGCCUCGGCCCGAGUUGUAAUUUGUAGAGGAAGCUUUAGGCGCGGCACCUUCUGAGUCCCCUGGAACGGGGCGCCACAGAGGGUGAGAGCCCCGUAUAGUUGGAUGCCUAGCCUGUGUAAAGCUCCUUCGACGAGUCGAGUAGUUUGGGAAUGCUGCUCAAAAUGGGAGGUAAAUUUCUUCUAAAGCUAAAUACCGGCCAGAGACCGAUAGCGCACAAGUAGAGUGAUCGAAAGAUGAAAAGCACUUUGAAAAGAGGGUUAAAUAGCACGUGAAAUUGUUGAAAGGGAAGCGCUUGUGACCAGACUUGCGCCGGGCGGAUCAUCCGGUGUUCUCACCGGUGCACUCCGCCCGGCUCAGGCCAGCAUCGGUUCUCGCGGGGGGAUAAAGGCCCCGGGAACGUAGCUCCUCCGGGAGUGUUAUAGCCCGGGGCGUAAUGUCCUCGCGGGGACCGAGGACCGCGCAUCUGCAAGGAUGCUGGCGUAAUGGUCACCAGCGACCCGUCUUGAAACACGGACCAAGGAGUCAAGGUUUUGCGCGAGUGUUUGGGUGUAAAACCCGCACGCGUAAUGAAAGUGAACGUAGGUGAGAGCUUCGGCGCAUCAUCGACCGAUCCUGAUGUAUUCGGAUGGAUUUGAGUAGGAGCGUUAAGCCUUGGACCCGAAAGAUGGUGAACUAUGCUUGGAUAGGGUGAAGCCAGAGGAAACUCUGGUGGAGGCUCGCAGCGGUUCUGACGUGCAAAUCGAUCGUCAAAUCUGAGCAUGGGGCGAAAGACUAAUCGAACCAUCUCC
RNAcentral lists this ribosomal RNA (837 nucleotides) under Chaetomium strumarium. RNAcentral's name for it is "LSU rRNA". It matches the Rfam family "Eukaryotic large subunit ribosomal RNA", at positions 76 to 947 of the family's 3401-position model. Lineage: Eukaryota; Fungi; Ascomycota; Sordariomycetes; Sordariales; Chaetomiaceae. The record is from RNAcentral.